GAUGAACGCUGGCGGCGUGCCUAAUACAUGCAAGUCGAGCGAACAGAUAAGGAGCUUGCUUCUUUGACGUUAGCGGCGGACGGGUGAGUAACACGUGGGUAACCUACCUAUAAGACUGGGAUAACUUCGGGAAACCGGAGCUAAUACCGGAUAACAUUUUGAACCGCAUGGUUCUAAAGUGAAAGAUGGUUUUGCUAUCACUUAUAGAUGGACCCGCGCCGCAUUAGCUAGUUGGUAAGGUAACGGCUUACCAAGGCGACGAUGCGUAGCCGACCUGAGAGGGUGAUCGGCCACACUGGAACUGAGACACGGUCCAGACUCCUACGGGAGGCAGCAGUAGGGAAUCUUCCGCAAUGGGCGAAAGCCUGACGGAGCAACGCCGCGUGAGUGAUGAAGGGUUUCGGAUCGUAAAACUCUGUUAUUAGGGAAGAACAAAUGUGUAAGUAACUGUGCACGUCUUGACGGUACCUAAUCAGAAAGCCACGGCUAACUACGUG
Molecule: ribosomal RNA, 497 nt
Filed under: uncultured bacterium
Lineage: Bacteria
Description: partial 16S ribosomal RNA
Rfam family: Bacterial small subunit ribosomal RNA
Source: RNAcentral